AAACCUAAGGACUUUGUUAGGAGAGGUUGGAGAGUCUUAGAAGCGCACUACACGUGUAGGCUGGGAGUUUACAAGUUCUCUACAGACACUCACGUGCGGUUAGUGUUGUUGGGGUAAUUUUUUAAUAAUUCAUCUCAUAUAAGUAAUCUAUGAACUCUCUGUGAAAUUCCAUCCUGUGCGUAUAGCUUUCAUCUUACUCUUAUUGAUGGUCACUUCAAUAAGGUUAAAUUUAUUUUUUAAUCUAAAAGGACAGCAUUUUUAAAAUUCAAAAGGUGUUAUUUUUCUCUUGGACUAUGAUGUGAUGGCCGUUUAAAAAAUUUCCCUAAUAGAAUUACUUCACCUGCCGUACUUGUAUACAAGGGAAAUUUCUUAAUCAUGAUCAAAUUGGAAGAAGAAAAUGGUAAUAACAUAUACUUACCAGUUUAUGUCGUGAUUUAUCAAGAAUAAAAUAUUUUCUUCACAACCACGAUCAUGAAAUCUUGCUCCCACCUCUUCCUGCUGCGGGGCGCUGCACGAAACCAAAUUGCCGCUUGCUCGAUCAAGUACCCCGUUGCUUUGUUGGUGGACCCAAUUAGGUAAGGGGCCAUUGUCCCUCAACUCUUAGUUCUUACCAACCUUCGAUGAAAACAAGAAUGAAUUUGAUUUCAAUAGCAAAAUUAAGAUCUUUUUCAUUGAGUUAAGACGGUAAUAAGGGGCUUAAUUGUGAAAGAAAGACCCCGUAUCACAUGAAAUAUCAUACCUUCAACUCUCUCCUCUCUUAAUUUCCUUAGUUUAUUGUAAAAUCCUCCUUUGAUAAUGGACUAGAGAAUCUAGAACCGUAGCCUUCGAUGAAAACAAGAAUGAAUUUGAUUUCAAUAGCAAAAUUAAGAUCUUUUUCAUUGAGUUAAGAUGGUAAUAAGGGGCAUAAUUGUGAAAAAAAGACCCCUUACCACAAGAAAUAUCAUAAAUUCAACUCUCUCCCUUCUUCACUCUCUCCUCUCCUAAUUUCCUUAGUUUAUUGUAAAAUCCUUCUUUGAUAAAGGACUAGAGAAUCUAGAACCGUAGCAUCCAAAUUAAAA
RNAcentral lists this long non-coding RNA (1058 nucleotides) under Olea europaea (common olive). Its description in RNAcentral is "long non-coding RNA (OEUR_LNC004676)". The record is from RNAcentral. Lineage: Eukaryota; Viridiplantae; Streptophyta; Magnoliopsida; Lamiales; Oleaceae.